RNAcentral lists this ribosomal RNA (253 nucleotides) under uncultured bacterium. Its description in RNAcentral is "partial 16S ribosomal RNA". It matches the Rfam family "Bacterial small subunit ribosomal RNA", at positions 524 to 776 of the family's 1533-position model. The record is from RNAcentral.
UACGGAGGGGGCUAGCGUUGUUCGGAAUUACUGGGCGUAAAGCGCACGUAGGCGGCUUUGUAAGUUAGAGGUGAAAGCCCGGGGCUCAACUCCGGAACUGCCUUUAAGACUGCAUCGCUAGAAUUGUGGAGAGGUAAGUGGAAUUCCGAGUGUAGAGGUGAAAUUCGUAGAUAUUCGGAAGAACACCAGUGGCGAAGGCGGCUUUCUGGGACGGUACUGACGCUGAGACGCGAAAGCGUGGGGAGCGAACAGG